CUUGGACUACAUAUGGUUGAGGGUUGUAAG
This 30-nucleotide non-coding RNA is filed under the name Ceratitis capitata (Mediterranean fruit fly). Lineage: Eukaryota; Metazoa; Arthropoda; Insecta; Diptera; Tephritidae. RNAcentral also lists the same sequence under 4 other names. The record is from RNAcentral.